UGAACGCUGGCGGCGUGCCUAAUACAUGCAAGUCGAGCGAACAGACGAGGAGCUUGCUCCUCUGACGUUAGCGGCGGACGGGUGAGUAACACGUGGAUAACCUACCUAUAAGACUGGGAUAACUUCUGGAAACCGGAGCUAAUACCGGAUAAUAUAUUGAACCGCAUGGUUCAAUAGUGAAAGACGGUUUUGCUGUCACUUAUAGAUGGAUCCGCGCCGCAUUAGCUAGUUGGUAAGGUAACGGCUUACCAAGGCAACGAUGCGUAGCCGACCUGAGAGGGUGAUCGGCCACACUGGAACUGAGACACGGUCCAGACUCCUACGGGAGGCAGCAGUAGGGAAUCUUCCGCAAUGGGCGAAAGCUUGACGGAGCAACGCCGCGUGAGUGAUGAAGGUCUUCGGAUCGUAAAACUCUGUUAUUAGGGAAGAACAAAUGUGUAAGUAACUAUGCACGUCUUGACGGUACCUAAUCAGAAAGCCACGGCUAACUACGUG
Molecule: ribosomal RNA, 495 nt
Filed under: uncultured bacterium
Lineage: Bacteria
Description: partial 16S ribosomal RNA
Rfam family: Bacterial small subunit ribosomal RNA
Source: RNAcentral